This 496-nucleotide ribosomal RNA is filed under the name uncultured bacterium. RNAcentral describes it as "partial 16S ribosomal RNA". It matches the Rfam family "Bacterial small subunit ribosomal RNA", at positions 28 to 507 of the family's 1533-position model. The record is from RNAcentral.
GAUGAACGCUGGCGGCGUGCCUAAUACAUGCAAGUCGAGCGAACAGACGAGGAGCUUGCUCCUCUGACGUUAGCGGCGGACGGGUGAGUAACACGUGGAUAACCUACCUAUAAGACUGGGAUAACUUCGGGAAACCGGAGCUAAUACCGGAUAAUAUAUUGAACCGCAUGGUUCAAUAGUGAAAGACGGUUUUGCUGUCACUUAUAGAUGGAUCCGCGCCGCAUUAGCUAGUUGGUAAGGUAACGGCUUACCAAGGCAACGAUGCGUAGCCGACCUGAGAGGGGGACGGGCCAACCUGAACCUGGAACCGGUCCAGACUCCUACGGGAGGCAGCAGUAGGGAAUCUUCCGCAAUGGGCGAAAGCCUGACGGAGCAACGCCGCGUGAGUGAUGAAGGUCUUCGGAUCGUAAAACUCUGUUAUUAGGGAAGAACAAAUGUGUAAGUAACUAUGCACGUCUUGACGGUACCUAAUCAGAAAGCCACGGCUAACUACGUG